GUCUACAGCCCUGAGCGCGCCCGAUCUUGUCUGAUCUCGGAAGCUAAGCAGGGUUGGGCCUGGUUAGUACUUGGGUGGGAGAACCCUUCAGGUUUCACCUAGACC
Molecule: ribosomal RNA, 105 nt
Organism: Ochotona princeps (American pika)
Lineage: Eukaryota; Metazoa; Chordata; Mammalia; Lagomorpha; Ochotonidae
Source: Ensembl